This 469-nucleotide ribosomal RNA is filed under the name uncultured bacterium. RNAcentral's name for it is "bacterial SSU rRNA". It matches the Rfam family "Bacterial small subunit ribosomal RNA", at positions 329 to 798 of the family's 1533-position model. The record is from RNAcentral.
UGCCAGACUCCUACGGGAGGCAGCAGUGAGGAAUAUUGGUCAAUGGGCGGAAGCCUGAACCAGCCAAGUCGCGUGAGGGAUUAAGGCCCUAUGGGUCGUAAACCUCUUUUGUCAGGGAGCAAUGGCGUCCACGUGUGGGCGUAUGGAGAGUACCUGAAGAAAAAGCAUCGGCUAACUCCGUGCCAGCAGCCGCGGUAAUACGGAGGAUGCGAGCGUUAUCCGGAUUUAUUGGGUUUAAAGGGUGCGUAGGCGGAAUGCCAAGUCAGCGGUAAAAUCGCGGGGCUCAACCUCGCUCCGCCGUUGAAACUGGCAGUCUCGAGUUGGAGAGAAGUAUGCGGAAUGCGCGGUGUAGCGGUGAAAUGCAUAGAUAUCGCGCAGAACUCCGAUUGCGAAGGCAGCAUGCCGGCUCCACACUGACGCUGAGGCACGAAAGCGUGGGUAUCGAACAGGAUUAGAUACCCUAGUCCAG